This is a long non-coding RNA of Hipposideros armiger (great roundleaf bat), 770 nucleotides long. RefSeq lists it as uncharacterized. NCBI's taxonomy places the organism in Eukaryota, Metazoa, Chordata, Mammalia, Chiroptera, Hipposideridae. The transcript has 4 exons. The record is from RefSeq and is a predicted model, not a curated record.
GGACUUUAAUGAAGCCAGGUGGGACACAUUUAAAUAGGAAUGUGCUGAACUAACUCAUGAAGAGCAAAGCCAGCUGUCAGCAGGCUUAAUGAAAGGUUAACAGGGAUGCGGCAAUGGUGGCUGGGGAGACGUCUUGUCUCUCUGAAGAAAACAAAAAGUUGGGAAGCUGGCUCCCUGGGUGGAGGCAAAAGCAGGAGGAGGAAGUCACUUGUAACCGAGAGACCGGGUCUGAAACCGAGUUUCAUUUAGAUGUGUAAACAUGUUACAGUCUAACAAAAGAGGGAAAAAAAAGCAUUGUGAGUUCCCAGCUUUCUGAUCAUCAAAGGACCGCAAGGGGACGCCUCCCCCCAACAAGAUGAAUGCUAAUGCUGUUACCAGAAGGACCCUGGGAGCCCUGGAGAUGGCUGCUCACAAAACAAGGUCUCUGGUUCAGUAGAGGCAAAGCUGCUGCCCUGAAACUAAGAAUGCUUGCGGCCCAGGAGUUAGAAAAGCUGAAGAGGAGUCCAUUGGGAGCCGGAGGGUCUAAUGACGGGGCUGCCCUACACUAAAAGAGUGCAAGUUGUACCAUCAGCUCUCCUGGAUCUCCAACUUGCUGAUGACAGAUCUUAGGACAUCUUAGCCACCAUAAUCAGCUGGACACAAAGCAAAGUCCUGACCGGAGCUCCAAAGUGCCCAGACUCUGUUUGUUGUCCUCUGAGGUGGUUUCACAGCUCCUGUGUGGCUCAAGGACUAUGACAAGGAGAAACCUGGUCACAUCUCCUAGGUGUAUG